GCGUCUUUUCCGUAGUCUACUGCAGCAUGGAUAUAAAAGUAUAAAACACGUUUUGGUUUGACAACAUCGUUCAUAUGUGAACUAUCACAAUUAAUUCACAAAGACAUAACAUCAUUACACUCCGAGACCUUUCACAAGUGCGACUAAAGAGAAGAAACGCUUUCCGGAAGAGAAGUUCAUCAGGCGAGUUGGAGACUAGUCGACUCAUCCAGUUUAGCGGAGAGCAUCAACCCCUAAUUGACAUGAGGAAUAAAUCAUUGAAAAGUGUUCAGUGUACCUCUCUUUGCAACAGAGGAAGCUUUAGGAAAGAGGAGAAGAGAGAAAGUGAAAAGGCUCUCAACAGAUGUUGAAAUGCAUGUUAUUGUGCAAGGGGUAGUUGCAUGGACUAUCAGUGGAGGAACAGAAAGCUCUGAGAUUUCAUUAUAAAGAUCUUCAUUUGUGUUCUGAAGAUGAACGAAAGACUUGCGGGUUUGGAACGAUAUGAGGGUGAGUAAUUGAUGACAGAAUUUUCAUUUUUGGGUGAACCAACCUUUUAACUUCUGUUACCUGGAGUGUUCAAAGACAUUCUUAAUGCAGACCAAUAUGUCAUAAGAAAUGAACUGGGAGUA
This is a long non-coding RNA of Onychostoma macrolepis, 608 nucleotides long. RefSeq lists it as uncharacterized. Lineage: Eukaryota; Metazoa; Chordata; Actinopteri; Cypriniformes; Cyprinidae. The record is from RefSeq and is a predicted model, not a curated record. The transcript is spliced from 3 exons.